CCGAAAAUUAUAUUUCCAGGUAAAACGGCCAUGGAGGCUAACUCAGCAAAGUUGGAUGACUAUGGAAGAUAAUAGGCAAAAGUGAAUGACUUUUUAAAGACAGCAUUUCAACAGAACUUGCCUACGUUCCAAAUUCUCUGAUGAAAGCAAAGCAGUUUAUAAUUCUUGGACAACAGAGAAGAAAAAAAGGGAAAAUCUUGAUUCUAACCUGCUAUCAACAAUUGGUCAUGCACACUACCCAAAUAUAAAAUUGGGCACAUGAAUCUGAAUUGAACUUUUCGGUUUUUUAAUCAAAUAAAUAAGAUAAAGAGUUAUUAACAGUGGGCACAAAAAUGCCCGUAUAUGAGGAGAAUACCAACAAAAAAGUUUCUACAAAUAUUCUAUACCUACCAAAACCUCAUCAGUGCACCAAAAGGCAAUAAGUUAUUAGGGGCUGGGCUAUUCCUCAAUUGAACAAAAUCCCUUACUGUUUACCUAUUUCUUUCUAUGCAUACAACCCAUUUAAGGUCAAGUCGAGCAACAUCUCACAUCCAUCAGCUAUGCAAUACUUCUUUUACAGGGCCUCACAUCACCGACUGUAUAUGAUUGAAGUUCAAAACUACUCGGUUCUUGCACGUUUUGACUGUGCUUGCUUCAUCCAAUCAAGGCAUUCUUCAGCAGAACCAGAAGGGUGUGCGAGCUUCCACUCCAACAAUUUUUGUUGCUGC
Molecule: long non-coding RNA, 707 nt
Filed under: Solanum tuberosum (potato)
Lineage: Eukaryota; Viridiplantae; Streptophyta; Magnoliopsida; Solanales; Solanaceae
Description: long non-coding RNA (STUB_LNC010598)
Source: RNAcentral